AGAGUUUGAUCAUGGCUCAGAACGUACGCUGGCGGCACGCCUAACACAUGCAAGUCGAACGAAGUAGCAAUACUUAGUGGCAGACGGGUGAGUAACAUGUAGGUAUCUGCCCUUUGGCCUGGAAUAACACGAGGAAACUUGUGCUAAUACUGGAUAAGUCUUUACGGAGAAAGCUUUAUGCACCAUUGGAUGAGCCUGCACUUGAUUAGUUUGUUGGUAGGGUAAUGGCCUACCAAGACUGUGAUCAAUAGCUGAUUUGAGAGGAUGAUCAGCCACAUUGGGACUGAGACACGGCCCAAACUCCUACGGGAGGCAGCAGUGGGGAAUCUUGCACAAUGGAGGAAACUCUGAUGCAGCGAUGCCGCGUGAGUGAAGAAGGCCCUUGGGUUGUAAAGCUCUUUCGUCGGGGAAGAAAAUGACUGUACCCGAAUAAGAAGGUCCGGCUAACUUCGUGCCAGCAGCCGCGGUAAUACGAAGGGACCUAGCGUAGUUCGGAAUUACUGGGCUUAAAGAGUUCGUAGGUGGUUGAAAAAGUUGGUGGUGAAAUCCCAGAGCUUAACUCUGGAACUGCCAUCAAAACUUUUCAGCUAGAGUAUGAUAGAGGAAAGCAGAAUUUCUAGUGUAGAGGUGAAAUUCGUAGAUAUUAGAAAGAAUACCAAUUGCGAAGGCAGCUUUCUGGAUCAUUACUGACACUGAGGAACGAAAGCAUGGGUAGCGAAGAGGAUUAGAUACCCUCGUAGUCCAUGCCGUAAACGAUGUGUGUUAGACGUUGGAAAUUUAUUUUCAGUGUCGCAGCGAAAGCGAUAAACACACCGCCUGGGGAGUACGACCGCAAGGUUAAAACUCAAAUGAAUUGACGGGGACCCGCACAAGUAGUGGAGCAUGUGGUUUAAUUCGAAGAUACGCGCAGAACCUUACCAACACUUGACAUGUUCGUCGCGACUCUAAGAGAUUAGAGUUUUCGGUUCGGCCGGACGAAACACAGGUGCUGCAUGGCUGUCGUCAGCUCGUGUCGUGAGAUGUUGGGUUAAGUCCCGCAACGAGCGCAACCCUCACUUUUAGUUGCCAUCAUUAAGUUGGGCACUCUGAAAGAACUGCCAGUGAUAAGCUGGAGGAAGGUGGGGAUGACGUCAAGUCCUCAUGGCCCUUACGUGUUGGGCUACACACGUGCUACAAUGGUAUCUACAACAGGAAGCAAGACUGCGAAGUUAAGCAAAUCCUUAAAAGAUACCUCAGUUCGGAUUGCACUCUGCAACUCGAGUGCAUGAAGCUGGAAUUACUAGUAAUCGUGGAUCAGCGUGCCACGGUGAAUGCGUUCCCGGGUCUUGUACACACCGCCCGUCACACCAUGGGAGUUGGUUCUACCUUAAGGCAAGGUUUCAAACCCUUGACCACGGUAUAGUCAGCGACUGGGGUGAAGUCAUAACAAGGUAGCCGUA
This 1439-nucleotide ribosomal RNA is filed under the name uncultured bacterium. RNAcentral's name for it is "bacterial SSU rRNA". It matches the Rfam family "Bacterial small subunit ribosomal RNA". The record is from RNAcentral.